Molecule: long non-coding RNA, 286 nt
Filed under: Sorghum bicolor (sorghum)
Lineage: Eukaryota; Viridiplantae; Streptophyta; Magnoliopsida; Poales; Poaceae
Description: long non-coding RNA (SBIC_LNC018266)
Source: RNAcentral
UAUGCAUGGAGUAUUAAAUAUAGAUGAAAAUUAAAACUAAUUACAUAGUUUGGUCGGAAUUGACGAGACGAAUCUUUUGAGCCUAGUUAGUUCAUAAUUGGAUAAUAUUUGUCAAAUACAAACGAAAGUGCUACUAUUCCUAUUUUGCAAAAUUUUUUAGAAGUAAACAAGGCACAAAUAAAAACGAAAAUACUAUAAUAUCUAAAACAAAAAAAAUUACAAACUAAACAUGGCCUCAACAUUUGGAAAUGAAGCCUGGAUGAUAUUGCGGGCCAAAUCAAUAGCC